This 253-nucleotide ribosomal RNA is filed under the name uncultured bacterium. RNAcentral describes it as "partial 16S ribosomal RNA". It matches the Rfam family "Bacterial small subunit ribosomal RNA", at positions 524 to 776 of the family's 1533-position model. The record is from RNAcentral.
UACAGAGGGGGCAAGCGUUGUUCGGAAUUACUGGGCGUAAAGGGCGCGUAGGCGGCCUGCUAAGUCGAACGUGAAAUCCCCGGGCUCAACCCGGGAACUGCGUCCGAUACUGGUUGGCUUGAAUCCGGGAGAGGGAUGCGGAAUUCCAGGUGUAGCGGUGAAAUGCGUAGAUAUCGGGAGGAACACCUGUGGCGAAAGCGGCGCACUGGACCAUAACUGACGCUGAGGCGCGAAAGCUAGGGGAGCAAACAGG